UUAACUGCAGUAAUAAUGGUGAAGACCCAGCAAGUUUUUUUGUCUACUCUGUGGCUUCAGUUAAGCUGGGUGAGUGGCAAACCUGGAGUGGAGCACAGUCCCCAGUACCUGACCGCCCAGGAAGGAGACUCUGUCACGAUCACCUGCAGUUACUCCAUAGGAAUGACCGCUUUACACUGGUUGCAGCAGAAUCCUGGAGGACACAUUGUCUCCUUGUUUAUACUGAGCCUAGAGAUGAAGAAGAAGGGAAGAGUGAGGGCCACGAUAAACACAGAGGAACUCCACAGCUCUCUGUACAUCACAGCCUCCCAGCCCAGAGACUCUGCCACCUACCUCUGUGCUGUGUCCAACUAUGGAAGCAACAACUUAAUCUUCGGGACGGGAACUAAAGUCACUGUUAUACCCAAUAUCACGGACCCUGACCCUGCCGUGUACCAGCUGAGAAGCCCUAAAUCCAGUAACAUCUCUGUCUGCCUGUUCACCGAUUUUGAUUCUGAAACCAAUAAGGAGCAAGCCCCAGAGUCCACGAUGAUCAGGCUAAACAGUACCGUCCUGGACAUGUGGUCGAUGAAUUCCAAGAGCAAUGGGGCCCUGGCCUGGAGCACCAGCACUGAUUUUAAAUGCAAUGAGACCUUCGAUGAGGAAUUCUACUCCAGCUCAGACUUUUCCUGUAAUGCCACUUUGAUAGAGAAAAGCUUCGAAACAGAUAUGAACCUAAACUUCUACAACCUGCUCAUAAUCGGGCUGCGUGUCAUCCUCCUGAAAGUGGCUGGGUUUAACCUGUUCAUGACGCUGUGGCUGUGGUCUCGCUGAGGUCACCAAGAACAUGAGAGCGCCUGGCACUCCCUCGCUCCUGGCUCCCCACCGUACCUCUUCCCUCUCUUCAAGCAGAGAGGCAGACUGUCUGCUCCCCUGAACAGAUAAGAAGGCUCCCUCUGCCUCUCUGGCCCCACUGGCAAUGGCCACCAGCUGGAUCCCACCAGAUACUCACCAUCAAGGUGCUGAAGAGCUGCCAAACCCUGCCUCUGCCCCCUCGGUUCCCUCACUGCUGCUUGUCACCACUGGACGCUCACAGCAAAGUCAGGGGGCCGCUGCGGAGAGACUCCCUGUCCCUCCCCUGAGACUGCCUCUUACAUCCCCUGUCCCCUAUCCUCCGGGAGAGGAACCCCCAGUGGGUCCUCCUGGGCUCUAGCUCCUGGAGAAGGUUGUGAGGAGUCCGUUUUUUUUAAAUAAUGUUCAUAAAUAUGUAUACCCUUUUCCCCAAGAUGUGGGGGAAUUAUUACGGAGACCCUGCUGUGCUGUGUAUCUGAGCAGCGUUGUAUAUCCUGCUACCUAUGACUUCAUUAAAGGCAAUUUGGAAGAGCCCAAA
This is a non-coding RNA of Mustela erminea (ermine), 1369 nucleotides long. The record is from the annotation of a RefSeq genome assembly. NCBI's taxonomy places the organism in Eukaryota, Metazoa, Chordata, Mammalia, Carnivora, Mustelidae.